GCUCCUCGGUGCCCCCCCUGAGGGCCUCAGUGCAUCCAGGCCUGGGAAGGUGACUGAGAAGCAUACGGAGGCAGAAGUGAUGUAAAUAAUCCCCGCCGCAUCACUGAGCGAGCAGCAGCGUAAUCUCAUUCCUUUGCAGUGCAAAGAAACGUGCCGAUGGGUCAAGGUGCAGACGGCAACAGUGGAGGCCCAGCUCGCAGCAUGGGGUGCCCAGGACUGGUGCAUUGCUUGGGAACAUGCGUCCACCCCAGUCCUUCAUCGCCUCGAGAGCCUCAGGCAAAAACUUUCCUCGUUUCCACUCGCCCGCUGAAAUUUGUUUUGACAUGCACCCAGAAAACUGAUUCACGCAUGCAGCGUGUUUAGGCAGUCAGUUCUUACCUCAGUGAGCCAUCUUGCCUUAAGCCCUGCUUGGUAUGGGUUUGUGUAGGAGCGGUAUCUGGCAGCCCCAUCGUGAUUUAUAAUUCUGCUGCUGUAGACAAUGUACCAUAAUAAAAAAUGGAUUGUUCUCCAAA
Molecule: long non-coding RNA, 512 nt
Organism: Cygnus olor (mute swan)
Lineage: Eukaryota; Metazoa; Chordata; Aves; Anseriformes; Anatidae
Exons: 2
Source: RefSeq, a predicted model, not a curated record